RNAcentral lists this ribosomal RNA (253 nucleotides) under uncultured bacterium. RNAcentral's name for it is "partial 16S ribosomal RNA". It matches the Rfam family "Bacterial small subunit ribosomal RNA", at positions 524 to 776 of the family's 1533-position model. The record is from RNAcentral.
UACGAAGGGGGCUAGCGUUGCUCGGAAUCACUGGGCGUAAAGCGCACGUAGGCGGAUCUUUAAGUCAGGGGUGAAAUCCUGGAGCUCAACUCCAGAACUGCCUUUGAUACUGAGAAGCUUGAGUCCGGGAGAGGUGAGUGGAACUGCGUGUGUAGAGGUGAAAUUCGUAGAUAUUCGCAAGAACACCAGUGGCGAAGGCGGCUCACUGGCCCGGUACUGACGCUGAGGUGCGAAAGCGUGGGGAGCAAACAGG